RNAcentral lists this ribosomal RNA (253 nucleotides) under uncultured bacterium. RNAcentral's name for it is "partial 16S ribosomal RNA". It matches the Rfam family "Bacterial small subunit ribosomal RNA", at positions 524 to 776 of the family's 1533-position model. The record is from RNAcentral.
UACAGAGGCCACAAGCGUUAGUCGGAAUCACUGGGCUUAAAGGGUGCGUAGGUGGCCCACCAAGUGUCUUGUGAAAUACCUUAGCUCAACUAAGGAACAGCAGGGCAUACUGGUGGGCUCGAGGCAGGUAAGGGUCGCUGGAACAAUAGGUGGAGCGGUGAAAUGCGUAGAUAUCUAUUGGAACGCCGAUGGUGAAGACGAGCGACUGGGCCUGACCUGACACUGAGGCACGAAAGCGUGGGGAGCAAACAGG